AGUGAACGCUGGCGGUAGGCCUAACACAUGCAAGUCGAACGGCAGCACAGGAGAGCUUGCUCUCUGGGUGGCGAGUGGCAGACGGGUGAGGAAUACAUCGGAAUCUACUCUGUCGUGGGGGAUAACGUAGGGAAACUUACGCUAAUACCGCAUACGACCUACGGGUGAAAGCAGGGGACCUUCGGGCCUUGCGCGAUUGAAUGAGCCGAUGUCGGAUUAGCUAGUUGGCGGGGUAAAGGCCCACCAAGGCGACGAUCCGUAGCUGGUCUGAGGGGAUGAUCAGCCACACCGGAACUGAGACACGGUCCAGACUCCUACGGGAGGCAGCAGUGGGGAAUAUUGGACAAUGGGUGCAAGCCUGAUCCAGCCAUACCGCGUGGGUGAAGAAGGCCUUCGGGUUGUAAAGCCCUUUUGUUGGGAAAGAAAUCCAGCUGGCUAAUACCCGGUUGGGAUGACGGUACCCAAAGAAUAAGCACCGGCUAACUUCGUGCCAGCCGCCGCAGUAA
This 506-nucleotide ribosomal RNA is filed under the name uncultured bacterium. RNAcentral's name for it is "partial 16S ribosomal RNA". It matches the Rfam family "Bacterial small subunit ribosomal RNA", at positions 29 to 523 of the family's 1533-position model. The record is from RNAcentral.